Molecule: long non-coding RNA, 1670 nt
Organism: Pogoniulus pusillus (Red-fronted tinkerbird)
Lineage: Eukaryota; Metazoa; Chordata; Aves; Piciformes; Lybiidae
Exons: 5
Source: RefSeq, a predicted model, not a curated record
GUUUGCAGAAGAUGUUGCAUGACAGAAACACGAAUUCUUCUCUGGUCUAAACUGACUGAAGUCUUUUGGUUUGUAGUCAAGACUGAAAACUCUCUCCAAUGAUGCAAGGAUCUCCGUCCAGCGUGUGGCUGUAUCCACGUGCUGUGAUCCGUCAUAUCUGCAAUCUACAGCCUGGAGGUGCACAUGGGAAGGACAGGACUCAUGGCAGUGAGCAAAGUGAGGGGGAAAAAUAAAACCCUGUACCACUUGUGCAGCCAUGCUAUAAGCAUACUCUUACUGAAGAAGGCUAGACAACUGUGGCCACAGCAGUAUGCAUAUGGAUGUGUCCUCAGGCUGUCUCUGUUCCACAUGUGACACUUGAGACAUGAGGAGAUUUGGUGUUCCUGUCCAUGUGUAGGUUUCUUCAGCACCAGUGUUAGGCAAGCAGAGGAAAGAGCCCGUGAACAACCAGCUUCUGGUAAGGCUUGCAUUGAAGAUGGUGAUAAACUCUUCUUCUCUGACACCAGAGUGUGAAAUUGACUACAAGGCAGAUUGUUUUGAGACAAACAAGCACUUGGCUGAAUAAACAGGGGUGCAAUCAUGAGUGGCAAAACAAACAACACAGACACUGCAGUGCUGCUUUUCAGGUGUGUCAAAUCAUGCAUCAUGUCCUGUAAACAGAUCUGGCAACGACAAAUCCUUGAUGAAGCCUCCUUGGGGAUAGUGUUUCCCUGACAUCAGAUCAACAGCCUAAUCCUGUCUCCAAGGUGAAGGGGGGAAAUAAAUCUGCAACUCCAAGUCCAUUUUGGAAAUGAAAAACCCAGAAGCACACCAGGCCAGUGACGUGCAACAGCUACAAAUAAGCACCUUGGAUGAAUUAAGGGGAGAGAGUACCUGGACUGCCUCAUCAGCUGAAUUACCACCCAAGCAUCCCAGGAAUAAAAGGGAAGAAAAUGCAGACAUCUGCAAAUUUGCACCUACUCUGUAAGGAUCCCAGUGACAUGCAACAGCUACAAAUAAGCAUCUUGGAUGAAUUAAGAGGAGAGAGUGCCUGGACAGCCUCAUCAGCUGAAUUACCACCCAAGCAUCCCAGGAACAAAAGGAAGAAAAUGCAGACAUCUGCAAAUUUGCACCUACUCUGUAAGGAUCCCAUCAGCAGUGUCCCGUCCCUCAGGAGUGUCCCAGAAUACUUUGGCUGUCAGCUUGUUGGGCUCUGCAAUUUUCUCCUUCACACUUGGGCACUUGAUCCUUGGAGGUUCAGCAUCUGUUGGAGUAAAUGUCACAAGAAUGAGCAUCAGUGCAUCUGUUACAGCUGUGCAUUUUCUUCACAGCUCUUGCCCUGCUGUUACCAUAAUCUAGGACCACCUUCAGACGGCCUCCCUCAACACUGAAGCUAUCCCAGCCAAGGCACACAGAGCCUGUACACUUCUCACCUCUUCAUAAAGAGAUGAUAAUGAUCAACACCAUGCCACACAAAAGACUAAUUCUCAGUAGGUAUUGUAAAUGUCUUUGCAUAGCUCCUAGUUAAAAAGCAGCAGCAACAAAUGGACAUCAUUUAUCUUUGAACUCUAAGGAAGGGAAGCUCAAGAUUGUACUGGAGGAGCCUAGAUGUCCUGCUCACCUGCUCUUCCUCUCUCUAUUCAUCUGUGCAGUAGGCACUGUGAUUAAAACCAGCUGUAAAGCACACCAAA